RNAcentral lists this ribosomal RNA (1141 nucleotides) under Vibrio chagasii. RNAcentral describes it as "bacterial SSU rRNA". It matches the Rfam family "Bacterial small subunit ribosomal RNA", at positions 31 to 1155 of the family's 1533-position model. The record is from RNAcentral. Lineage: Bacteria; Pseudomonadati; Pseudomonadota; Gammaproteobacteria; Vibrionales; Vibrionaceae.
CAACCUAAGACCGCAGCCUACACAUGCAGUCGAGCGGAAACGACACUAACAAUCCUUCGGGUGCGUUAAUGGGCGUCGAGCGGCGGACGGGUGAGUAAUGCCUAGGAAAUUGCCUUGAUGUGGGGGAUAACCAUUGGAAACGAUGGCUAAUACCGCAUAAUGCCUACGGGCCAAAGAGGGGGACCUUCGGGCCUCUCGCGUCAAGAUAUGCCUAGGUGGGAUUAGCUAGUUGGUGAGGUAAUGGCUCACCAAGGCGACGAUCCCUAGCUGGUCUGAGAGGAUGAUCAGCCACACUGGAACUGAGACACGGUCCAGACUCCUACGGGAGGCAGCAGUGGGGAAUAUUGCACAAUGGGCGAAAGCCUGAUGCAGCCAUGCCGCGUGUAUGAAGAAGGCCUUCGGGUUGUAAAGUACUUUCAGUUGUGAGGAAGGGGGUAGCGUUAAUAGCGCUAUCUCUUGACGUUAGCAACAGAAGAAGCACCGGCUAACUCCGUGCCAGCAGCCGCGGUAAUACGGAGGGUGCGAGCGUUAAUCGGAAUUACUGGGCGUAAAGCGCAUGCAGGUGGUUCAUUAAGUCAGAUGUGAAAGCCCGGGGCUCAACCUCGGAACUGCAUUUGAAACUGGUGAACUAGAGUACUGUAGAGGGGGGUAGAAUUUCAGGUGUAGCGGUGAAAUGCGUAGAGAUCUGAAGGAAUACCAGUGGCGAAGGCGGCCCCCUGGACAGAUACUGACACUCAGAUGCGAAAGCGUGGGGAGCAAACAGGAUUAGAUACCCUGGUAGUCCACGCCGUAAACGAUGUCUACUUGGAGGUUGUGGCCUUGAGCCGUGGCUUUCGGAGCUAACGCGUUAAGUAGACCGCCUGGGGAGUACGGUCGCAAGAUUAAAACUCAAAUGAAUUGACGGGGCCCGCACAAGCGGUGGAGCAUGUGGUUUAAUUCGAUGCAACGCGAAGAACCUUACCUACUUCUUGACAUCCAGAAGAAGCCAGCGGAGACGCAGUGUGCCUUCGGGAGCUCUGAGACAGUGCUGCAUGGCUGUCGUCAGCUCGUGUGUGAAAUGUGGGUUAAGUCCCGCAACGAGCGCACCCUUAUCCUUGUUUGGCAGCAGUAAAUGUCAGGAACUCCCAAGGAGGACUGGCUG